GAGCUCAUCUGCACUGGUUUUGAUAGUUGAGGGACCCGUUGUAUCUGGUUUUCCGGUUGAAUGACGAAAAUCGGAUUCGUUGAUAAAUUAAGAGAUCUUAGAUGAACUUAUUCCGUGUAGAAACGAACGGGGGCCUAAACUGGUGUCUGGUGUGGCCCAUUAACACUUCAGUACUGUAGGUUCAUUUACCGGAAAGCCGAACUCCAAAGUCAGAAAGCCCCCACGGAUCAUCCGUGGGCCCCACACGUCAGCCACACUGCAAUCACCAGAUCUCCCACCCCACGACCAGGAGUCGACCGUUGCUCGCCGUUGUGCCACCACGCGAUUUCAAAAUUUUUCAACUCGUCUCUUCUUCUUCUUCUUCUCCAAGCCGCCGCCUCGCAUUAACUCACAGCUCCGAGAAACCAUCCAGCCAAGCCAUGGACGAGAGGGAGAUGGCGGCGAGGAGAGCGCCGAGCGCCGCCACCACGCCACCGACCACCGCCACGCGCUGCUCCACCACCGCGUCCUCCUGCUCCUCGAACUCCAACCCCAGCGUGUCGGCGGCGGACGCCGCCGCCCACCAUAGUCGUGCCGUGGGAUGGGGUUGCGGGAGGAGGAGGGUGCUACUACCCGGGAUGCCGCAAGGACGCCAACUGCGCGUGCGAGAUGUGCCUCGCCAGCAUCAACGCCACCAGGGACCUCCUCCCGCCGGAGGCCGCCUCCGCGCGGAGGUGGUUCGCCGCGGCGGCCAGGGACAGGAAGCCCGCUCCGCGCCCGCUCUUCGGCGGCGCCGACACGACGCCGCACGGCUCCUCCGUCACGGAGCCGUGGACGCCGCCGAUGCGGUCCACCGCGAAGUCGAGGAGGCCCCGGCAGCAGCAGGAGGCGGCCGGCGGCGGCGGUGGCGGCGCCGGGAGGAAGACCCCCGGGGGAUCGCAUGACUGGGCCCUCUACACGGCCACGGUUCUUGGGUUCCUCCUCCUCCUCUGGGUGGACUCCGGCCUCGUCCCGGAGAUCGCGGCGAGGGGCUUCGGCCCCAAGCUCUCGCCGGAGGCCGUGGCACGGCUGGCCACGGAGGCGCGCCUCGCGCCGGGCGGCCUGAGCCACAAGCUCCGCGCCCUGGAGCGGAUGCUCGGGCAGCUCGUCGGCGGCGAGAAGGGGAUCUCCAACUGCAGCUCGCACGAUUCCGUCUGGCAAUUCGAGCAGAAUGAUCAGCGCGUGUUCUACUGGCGCUGCGCCGUGUACAAGUCGGCGGCGGAGGAGGUGACCGUGUGGGGGAGCCCACUCCGCACCUCCGGCCUCCUCCCCCGCGCGCUCCCGGCACGGCACCUCACCAUCCUCUCCGGCAAGAUCACCGAGUGGUCCGACGGGAGGGUGUGGCCGACGGUGAGGGCGAGCAACGGCAGCUCGUGGAGCUACGGUGGGCGGAGCUCGCCGGCGGUGAGGCUGGAGGCCGAGACGUGGGUGGUGGAGUACCAGAGGAGCGUGGUGUUCGAGGGGACGCGGCUGAUCCCCGCCGCGGCGGAGCUGGUGGCGUCCAGGUGCUCGGCGGUGGCGAGGCGGGCUCGCCAGAGGCUGGCCAGGCGACGGUUCCACGGCGGCGCCGGCGGGAUUCAGGCGAACCCGACCUGACUUCAAAGACUCUGGCUUGAAGAAGGGUGGUGUUUAGGAUGGUUUUUAUUAGCUUUUGCUUUGUUCGUCUCAUCUCCUGUGAGAUUGAUGGUGGAACACACUGUGUAUCCGUUCUUUUGGUUGUAUUGAUGUGAUGUUUAGUCAGAUGAACGGGGUAAGAACUGCCGAAUUAUUCUGAUUAUCAAGAUCAUAUCUUGAUUAUUACUCCCUCCAUUCCAAAAUAAACGCAGAGAUGAGUUUCUGUGU
This is a non-coding RNA of Oryza sativa Japonica Group (Japanese rice), 1860 nucleotides long. The record is from RefSeq and is a predicted model, not a curated record. NCBI's taxonomy places the organism in Eukaryota, Viridiplantae, Streptophyta, Magnoliopsida, Poales, Poaceae.